ACUCCUACGGGAGGCAGCAGUAGGGAAUCUUGGACAAUGGGCGAAAGCCUGAUCCAGCCAUGCCGCGUGAGUGAUGAAGGCCUUAGGGUUGUAAAGCUCUUUCGCCAGGGAAGAUAAUGACGGUACCUGGAUAAGAAGCCCCGACUAACUUCGUGCCAGCAGCCGCGGUAAUACGAAGGGGGCUAGCGUUGUUCGGAAUUACUGGGCGUAAAGCGCACGUAGGCGGUUUUCCAAGUUGGAGGUGAAAUCCCUGGGCUCAACCCGGGAACUGCCUCCAAAACUGGAUCACUCGAGUCCGAGAGAGGUGAGUGGAAUUUCCAGUGUAGAGGUGAAAUUCGUAGAUAUUGGAAAGAACACCAGUGGCGAAGGCGGCUCACUGGCUCGGUACUGACGCUGAGGUGCGACAGCGUGGGGAGCAAACAGGAUUAGAUACCCUGGUAGUCCACGCCGUAAACGAUGGGUGCUAGUUGUCAGGCAGCUUGCUGUUUGGUGACGCAGCUAACGCAUUAAGC
RNAcentral lists this ribosomal RNA (512 nucleotides) under uncultured bacterium. RNAcentral's name for it is "bacterial SSU rRNA". It matches the Rfam family "Bacterial small subunit ribosomal RNA", at positions 335 to 865 of the family's 1533-position model. The record is from RNAcentral.